GUCAGUACAUUCAUCUCCAGAUAGCUAGGUGGACCAGUCAUAGUCAGUCCAUUCAUCACCAGAUAGUUAGGUGGACCAGUCAGUCCAUUCAUCUCCAGAUAGCUAGGUGGACCAGUCAGUCCAUUCAUCUCCAGAUAGCUAGGUGGACCAGUCAUAGUCAGUCCAUUCAUCUCCAGAUAGCUAGGUGGACCAGUCAUAGUCAGUCCAUUCAUCUUCAGAUAGCUAGGUGGACCAGUCAUAGUCAGUACAUUCAUCUCCAGAUAGCUAGGUGGACCAGUCAUAGUCAGUCCAUUCAUCACCAGAUAGUUAGGUGGACCAGUCAGUCCAUUCAUCUCCAGAUAGCUAGGUGGACCAGUCAUAGUCAGUCCAUUCAUCUCCAGAUAGUUAGGUGGACCAGUCAGUCCAUUCAUCUCCAGAUAGCUAGGUGGACCAGUCAUAGUCAGUCCAUUCAUCUCCAGAUAGCUAG
This 466-nucleotide long non-coding RNA is filed under the name Salmo salar (Atlantic salmon). RNAcentral's name for it is "lncRNA (ENSSSAG00000099209.1)". Lineage: Eukaryota; Metazoa; Chordata; Actinopteri; Salmoniformes; Salmonidae. The record is from RNAcentral.